Molecule: transfer RNA, 86 nt
Filed under: Deltaproteobacteria bacterium
Lineage: Bacteria; Pseudomonadati; Myxococcota; Myxococcia
Description: tRNA-Ser
Rfam family: tRNA
About the family: Transfer RNA (tRNA) molecules are approximately 80 nucleotides in length. Their secondary structure includes four short double-helical elements and three loops (D, anti-codon, and T loops).
Source: RNAcentral
GGAGGGAUGGCCGAGUGGUUGAAGGCGGCGGUCUUGAAAAUCGCUGUGCCCAAAAGGCACCGGGGGUUCGAAUCCCUCUCCCUCCG